AACGAACGCUGGCGGCAUGCCUAACACAUGCAAGUCGAACGAGACCUUCGGGUCUAGGGGCGCACGGGUGCGUAACGCGUGGGAACCUGCCCUUAGGUUCGGAAUAACUCCCCGAAAGGGGUGCUAAUACCGGAUAAUGUCUUCGGACCAAAGAUUUAUCGCCUUAGGAUGGGCCCGCGUUGGAUUAGCUAGUUGGUAGGGUAAAAGCCUACCAAGGCGACGAUACAUAGCUGGUCUGAGAGAAUGAUCAGCCACACUGGGACUGAGACACGGCCCAGACUCCUACGCGAGGCAGCAGUGGGGAAUAUUGGACAAUGGGCGAAAGCCUGAUCCAGCAAUGACGCGUGAGUGAUGAAGGCCUUAGGGUUGUAAAGCUCUUUUAACCGGGAUGAUAAUGACAGUACCGGGAGAAUAAGCUCCGGCUAACUCCGUG
RNAcentral lists this ribosomal RNA (433 nucleotides) under uncultured bacterium. RNAcentral's name for it is "partial 16S ribosomal RNA". It matches the Rfam family "Bacterial small subunit ribosomal RNA", at positions 29 to 507 of the family's 1533-position model. The record is from RNAcentral.